CGGCGAGUGGCCCGGCUGGUGGGCCGCGCUGAUCCAGCUGGUGGGCGGGGUGCUGGUGCUGGUCGGGGUCGCCACCCGGCCCGCGGC
Molecule: transfer RNA, 87 nt
Filed under: Kitasatospora phosalacinea
Lineage: Bacteria; Bacillati; Actinomycetota; Actinomycetes; Kitasatosporales; Streptomycetaceae
Description: tRNA-Trp
Source: RNAcentral